Molecule: ribosomal RNA, 1503 nt
Filed under: uncultured bacterium
Lineage: Bacteria
Description: bacterial SSU rRNA
Rfam family: Bacterial small subunit ribosomal RNA
Source: RNAcentral
GGGUUUGAUCCUGGCUCAGAUUGAACGCUGGCGGCAUGCUUUACACAUGCAAGUCGAACGGCAGCACGACGUGUAGCAAUACACGUUGGUGGCGAGUGGCGAGCGGGUGAGUAAUACAUCGGAACGUGUCCUGUAGUGGGGGAUAACCAAUCGAAAGAUUGGCUAAUACCGCAUACGAUCUACGGAUGAAAGCGGGGGAUCGCAAGACCUCGCGCUAUAGGAGCGGCCGAUGUCCGAUUAGCUUGUUGGCGGGGUAACGGCCCACCAAGGCGACGAUCGGUAGCUGGUCUGAGAGGAUGAUCAGCCACACUGGAACUGAGGCACGGUCCAGACUCCUACGGGAGGCAGCAGUGGGGAAUUUUGGACAAUGGGCGCAAGCCUGAUCCAGCCAUGCCGCGUGAGUGAAGAAGGCCUUCGGGUUGUAAAGCUCUUUCGACGGGGACGAAACGGUCUGUGCCAACACCACGGACUAAUGACGGUACUCGCAGAAGUAGCACCGGCUAACUACGUGCCAGCAGCCGCGGUAAUACGUAGGGUGCAGGCGUUAAUCGGAAUUACUGGGCGUAAAGCGUGCGCAGGCGGCUCCUUAAGUCAGAUGUGAAAGCCCCGGGCUUAACCUGGGAACUGCGUUUGAUACUGGGGGGCUAGAGUGUGGAAGAGGGGGGUGGAAUUCCAGGUGUAGCAGUGAAAUGCGUAGAGAUCUGGAGGAACACCGAUGGCGAAGGCAGCCCCCUGGGCUAACACUGACGCUCAUGCACGAAAGCGUGGGGAGCAAACAGGAUUAGAUACCCUGGUAGUCCACGCCCUAAACGAUGUCAACUGGUUGUCGGGGAAGUAAUUCCUUGGUAACGAAGCUAACGCGUGAAGUUGACCGCCUGGGGAGUACGGCCGCAAGGCUAAAACUCAAAGGAAUUGACGGGGACCCGCACAAGCGGUGGAUUAUGUGGAUUAAUUCGAUGCAACGCGAAAAACCUUACCUACCCUUGACAUGUGCGGAACGGGGUAGAGAUACCUCGGUGCCCGAAAGGGAACCGCAACACAGGUGCUGCAUGGCUGUCGUCAGCUCGUGUCGUGAGAUGUUGGGUUAAGUCCCGCAACGAGCGCAACCCUUGCCAUUAGUUGCUACAUUCAGUUGGGCACUCUAAUGGGACUGCCGGUGACAAACCGGAGGAAGGUGGGGAUGACGUCAAGUCCUCAUGGCCCUUAUGGGUAGGGCUUCACACGUAAUACAAUGGCCGGUACAGAGGGCUGCCAACCCGCGAGGGGGAGCAAAUCCCAGAAAGCCGGUCGUAGUCCGGAUUGUUCUCUGCAACUCGAGAGCAUGAAGUCGGAAUCGCUAGUAAUCGCGGAUCAGCAUGUCGCGGUGAAUACGUUCCCGGGUCUUGUACACACCGCCCGUCACACCAUGGGAGUGGGUUUCACCAGAAGUAGUUAGCCUAACCGCAAGGAGGGCGACUACCACGGUGAGAUUCAUGACUGGGGUGAAGUCGUAACAAGGUAGCC